Molecule: ribosomal RNA, 164 nt
Filed under: Crangon uritai
Lineage: Eukaryota; Metazoa; Arthropoda; Malacostraca; Decapoda; Crangonidae
Description: partial 16S ribosomal RNA
Source: RNAcentral
ACUUUACAUAAUAUAUUAAUAAAUAAUUUGGUAGUUUAAAAUUAUGUUAGGUUAUUUAUGUUGAGCUGGGGCGGUUUUUAUAAAAAAAAUAACUGUAAGUUAAAUUAAAAUAUAAAUAUAUAGUUUAAUAAGAUCCUUAAAUUUGGAGAUUGGAAGACUAAGUU